This 369-nucleotide ribosomal RNA is filed under the name Escherichia coli. Its description in RNAcentral is "partial 23S ribosomal RNA". It matches the Rfam family "Bacterial large subunit ribosomal RNA", at positions 165 to 572 of the family's 2925-position model. The record is from RNAcentral. Lineage: Bacteria; Pseudomonadati; Pseudomonadota; Gammaproteobacteria; Enterobacterales; Enterobacteriaceae.
CAUAGGUUAAUGAGGCGAACCGGGGGAACUGAAACAUCUAAGUACCCCGAGGAAAAGAAAUCAACCGAGAUUCCCCCAGUAGCGGCGAGCGAACGGGGAGCAGCCCAGAGCCUGAAUCAGUAUGUGUGUUAGUGGAAGCGUCUGGAAAGGCGCGCGAUACAGGGUGACAGCCCCGUACACAAAAAUGCACAUGCUGUGAGCUCGAUGAGUAGGGCGGGACACGUGGUAUCCUGUCUGAAUAUGGGGGGACCAUCCUCCAAGGCUAAAUACUCCUGACUGACCGAUAGUGAACCAGUACCGUGAGGGAAAGGCGAAAAGAACCCCGGCGAGGGGAGUGAAAAAGAACCUGAAACCGUGUACGUACAAGCA